ACUCUGUGAUGAGAAUUAGCCAAAUCUGAGCGCCAAAAAGAUCAGCUGGUCUGUGCGGUGCAUGAUUUGUAAACUGUUCUGGGA
This is a small nucleolar RNA of Podarcis muralis (Common wall lizard), 84 nucleotides long. Ensembl annotates it as small nucleolar RNA U2-19. NCBI's taxonomy places the organism in Eukaryota, Metazoa, Chordata, Lepidosauria, Squamata, Lacertidae. The record is from Ensembl.